This 88-nucleotide non-coding RNA is filed under the name unclassified sequences. The record is from RNAcentral.
UAAACUUUGCCACCGGGUAAAGUUUUUAAGGUGUUCUGAAACAUUCCGUUAGGUCUUGGAAGGAAUGUUUUUAGGACACUUUUUUAUU